Molecule: long non-coding RNA, 474 nt
Organism: Onychostoma macrolepis
Lineage: Eukaryota; Metazoa; Chordata; Actinopteri; Cypriniformes; Cyprinidae
Exons: 3
Source: RefSeq, a predicted model, not a curated record
GAUAUGAAAGACAUGUUAAAGAAGGACAAGAAUGUUGCCAAUGCUUGAAGUGCUUAAAACUAAUGGACCUGAGAAGAGACUUGGAAGGAUGGAAGUCGAUUCUGGCAAAGUCAGAAAAGGAAAAACAGGGCCUGGAUGACAAAGUACAGAGCAGACCUUUGCCAACGGGAUGAAAGUAUUGCUAAGACCCAGAAGGAAAAUAAAGACCAAGAGAAGCUUCAGCAGAAGGAAGAAACAUCAGAGUACAAUAGAGUUCCUCUAAGCUACCCUGGAGGAAGAGGUCAGAGGUCAUGCCAAAGCUCUGAGGAAGAAAAUGGAGUCAGACUUGAAUAAAAUGGAGAUGCAGCAGGACAAUGGCACCAAAAACAAUGGUGACCUUCAAGAGACUAUAAGAGCAUAUCUAAGCUCAUCAGAAUUAUUAUUUUUUAACUCAACUUUGGCCCCACUUGAGUAUGAAAUUGAGUUUUGUAUGAA